Molecule: ribosomal RNA, 467 nt
Filed under: uncultured bacterium
Lineage: Bacteria
Description: partial 16S ribosomal RNA
Rfam family: Bacterial small subunit ribosomal RNA
Source: RNAcentral
GACGAACGCUGGCGGCGUGCUUAACACAUGCAAGUCGAACGGAAAGGCCCUGCUUUUGUGGGGUGCUCGAGUGGCGAACGGGUGAGUAACACGUGAGUAACCUGCCCUUGACUUUGGGAUAACUUCAGGAAACUGGGGCUAAUACCGGAUAGGAGCUCCUGCUGCAUGGUGGGGGUUGGAAAGUUUCGGCGGUUGGGGAUGGACUCGCGGCUUAUCAGCUUGUUGGUGGGGUAGUGGCUUACCAAGGCUUUGACGGGUAGCCGGCCUGAGAGGGUGACCGGCAACAUGGGACUUGGGUACCGGCCAGGCUCCUUAGGGGGGCCAGAGGGGGGAAUAUUGCACAAUGGGCGGAAGCCUGAUGCAGCAACGCCGCGUGCGGGAUGACGGCCUUCGGGUUGUAAACCGCUUUCGCCUGUGACGAAGCGUGAGUGACGGUAAUGGGUAAAGAAGCACCGGCUAACUACGUG